This 649-nucleotide ribosomal RNA is filed under the name uncultured bacterium. RNAcentral's name for it is "partial 16S ribosomal RNA". It matches the Rfam family "Bacterial small subunit ribosomal RNA", at positions 56 to 698 of the family's 1533-position model. The record is from RNAcentral.
UGCAGUCGAGGGCAGCASGUCUGUACCWGUACAGUUGCUGGCGACCGGCAAACGGGUGCGGAACACGUACAGAACCUUCCUUCCAGCGGGGAAUAGCCCAGAGAAAUUUGGAUUAAUACCCCAUASUAUMUUAGAGUGRCAUCACUUUGAUAUUAAAGAUUUAUCACUUGAAKAWGGCUGUGCSGCUGAUUAUGUAKUUGGCGGUGUAACGGCCCACCRAGCCAGCGAUCAGUAUCUGSUGUGAGAKCACGACCASUCACACGGRCUCUGARACACGGVCCCKACUCCUACGGGAGGCAGCGGUAAGGAAUAUUGGUCAAUGGACGCAAGUCUGAACCASCCMUGCCGCGUGGAGGAUGAAGGUCCUCUGGAUUGUAAACUUCUUUUAUAUGGGACAAAWGWASGGUUUUCUAACUCGUCUGACGRUACCAUAUGAAUAAKCACCGGCUAAYUCCGUGCCACCAGCCGCGGUAAUACRGAAGGUGCACGCGUUAUCCGSAUUCACUGUGUUUAAAGGGUGCGUAGGUGUGUUGGUDARUCACUGAUGAAAUCCCCGAGCUUAACUUGNGAACUGCCAUUGAUACUAUCAGUCUUGAAUACCGUGNAGGUUAGCGCAAUAUGUCAUGUAGCGNUGAGAUGCUUAGAUAUG